UUGCAGUUUUCAGUAAGCUUUAAAGUAAAAUUUUUAAAAAUAGAAAAAUGAUGGCUAAAUAUAGACAUUUUCAGAAAAACAAAAGGUAAGGAAAUGUGUUGGCACUGGACCUGAACUGCGGGAAAUGCUUAGGAAGUUCCCAGGGCUGAAGAGAAAUGAUCCCAGAUGGGAGCCUGCAUCUGCUGGAAGGGACAAAAGCACUGGAAAUGCAAGUUCAAGGGCAAACACUUGGAACCUCACUGUUACCACUGAUGGAAAAAAUCAGCUUGAGAAGCUUAAAAUAUAUAUUAGGAAAAAGGGGGAGUGGAGACGAGAGCAUUCAUUCAACAUAUGGAGAGAGAAAGCUCACGCUAAUCAAAAGUCAUGACUCUUAAGACCAUUUGCCAAUGGGGAGGCUUCAAAUCACUCCAACAAGUUGACUACCCUGAGGACAGUGUGUAUAGAAAACGCUUCCUCCCAGCUUUUGACCUUCAUUAGGGGUCCUUGUAAGUUGACUGUUGAUUCAAGUUCAUCUGGAAGUGAGGUAUGGAAAUGUGAGUGAGUGAUCUGUAUCACCAUAAAUGAUCUACCCAGGCUACUAGGAAUUUUAAUCAUCUGUGACCCUGAAAUUAAAGGGGAAAAAAGAGGUUUUUAUACUCAAGCAGGAAAACUGUGAUACCUUUGUCUGUGUCUGUACCUGUGUUGGUUUGGCCUCACUGUGCUUCAGGCACAUGAACUUGGGUCCAACAACAAUAAGAAACCUGAAAAAAAAAGUUGCUGAUGUACAAACCCACUUGACCUUCAAUUAGCACCAUUUGUGUAGCUGAAGGGGUUUACUCCCCAGGAUGUCUGUUAAAUUGAAGGACCAAGAUUCCCUUACAAGCACCACCUCCUUGAAGUUACUCUCGUGGCUCAGUGGUUAACAAAUCCGACUAGGAACCAUGAUGUUGA
Long non-coding RNA from Phacochoerus africanus (Common warthog), 930 nucleotides. RefSeq lists it as uncharacterized. NCBI's taxonomy places the organism in Eukaryota, Metazoa, Chordata, Mammalia, Artiodactyla, Suidae. The transcript is spliced from 4 exons. The record is from RefSeq and is a predicted model, not a curated record.